AGAGUUUGAUCAUGGCUCAGGAUCAACGCUGGCGGCGUGCCUAAUGCAUGCAAGUCGCGCGCGGGCUCCUUCGGGGGUGCUGCGCGGCGGACGGGUGCGUAACACGUGGGCGACCCACCCCAGGGCGGGGGAUAGCCGCGGGAAACCGCGGGUAAUUCCGCAUGUGCUCGGGGGCGCGUAGCGCCCUUGAGGAAAGGUGGCAACACCACCCUGGGCGGGGCCUGCGGCCGAUUAGCUAGUUGGUGUGGUAAUGGCGCACCAAGCCGAUGACGGGUCGCUGGUCUGCGAGGACGGCCAGCCAGACUGGGACUGCGACACGGCCCAGACACCUACGGGUGGCAGCAGCAAGGAAUCUUCCCCAAUGGGCUAACGCCUGAGGGAGCAACGCCGCGUGGAGGAUGACGGCCUUCGGGUUGUAAACUCCUUUUCGGUGGGAUGAAACGGACAGUACCACCGGAAUAAGCCCCGGCUAACUCUGUGCCAGCAGCCGCGGUAAGACAGAGGGGGCAAGCGUUGUCCGGAUUUACUGGGCGUACAGCGCGCGCAGGCGGUGGACCAGGUGCCCUGUGACAUCCCGCAGCUCAACUGCGGGCGGCCAGGGUAGACCAGUCGACUAGAGGCAGAGAGAGGCAGGUGGAAUACCCGGUGGAGCGGUGAAAUGCGUAGAGAUCGGGUGGAACACCAGCGGCGCAAGCGGCCUGCUGGCUCUGAACUGACGCUGAGGCGCGAGAGCGUGGGGAGCAAACCGGAUUAGAUACCCCGGUAGUCC
This 769-nucleotide ribosomal RNA is filed under the name uncultured Chloroflexota bacterium. Its description in RNAcentral is "bacterial SSU rRNA". It matches the Rfam family "Bacterial small subunit ribosomal RNA", at positions 8 to 796 of the family's 1533-position model. The record is from RNAcentral. Lineage: Bacteria; Bacillati; Chloroflexota.